Molecule: long non-coding RNA, 6499 nt
Filed under: Marmota monax (woodchuck)
Lineage: Eukaryota; Metazoa; Chordata; Mammalia; Rodentia; Sciuridae
Source: RNAcentral
AAGACUGUGCCCUCCAGCCAGCCUCGGCUCAGGAGAGAGCCCUCCAGCCACGUCACAUCCUGAAAGGAGCACAACCCAGCCAGCCCAGGGGAAGGACACCAGCGUCCCCGCAGCGUGCCCUCAGAAUGUGCAUUGACAGCUGAAACUCGGGCACAGAUGAGCUCCCAGUGCUCCGUGCCCUACCUGGGUGGCUUGCUCCUGGUCAAGUCUCAGCUCGCAGUCAUCUGCACAGAGCUUAGCCAGAGGCUGCCCACACUGGUUUGGCACCAACCAAGCUGGAAAGCAGGUUUGGCCACUUUUCUUUGUCUUCCCCCCCUCCCCCCUUUUCCCUUUCAGUUCACCUCCCUCUCUCCCUCCCUGCCUGUCCCCCUUUCUUCCUUCCUUCCUGCUCACCUUCUUUACUCCUUGCUCUCCAUUUCUGGGGAAGAGGAGACCCAGAAGGUCCUGCAGAGGGCUCUUCUCUGAGACGGAACCCCUGCAGCCCGCCCUGGGUUUGAUCAGCACUUGAAGUGGCUGCAAAUACUCUCACUUCUCAUCUAAAUCCGUAUCGAUCUCUCCCAAUGGGAAGCAGGCCACCCAAAUAAAUUAUAUAAAUAGAGUUAAUCAGGAUGGAGCCGGGGCCCAGGAGGGAUCGGUGCAGGCACAACAGAUUUUGCUGAUGUGCAAAAGCUGCUGGAAUGAAGUACGCCUGCUCCGGAGAGCGGAAAACCAACAAAGGCCAGGCCCCGUGAAGUCGGGAUAGCUGAGAGGCCAACCAGGUCUCCUGGGGCAGAACUGCCCCGCGGCCAGGAGACCGGAGGUGGGAGCCCAGGAGUCCUGACCGCCUGCCUCCCUGAGAACGAGCUGUGCAAAUCCUCUCUCUCCGAGGGAGGGAAGUCUGCUUCUGGUGGAUGUAUGGGUUCUCUUUGACUCCGGCAGUUUCAAAAUCAGCGGCUCCGGGGGGCAGCAGGAAGGAGUCUGGGUGACAUUGGCCUUUGGGGUUUGUGCCUUGUGGUAGGCAUCUGGGGCUUUUGUUUUAUUUUUUCCAAUUAUGAUUUAAGGAACCAUCAUGUGUGAGGCAGGGUGGGAGGUAGACAUGUGAGGCGGGUUCGGUCAGGGGUGGGUGCAGGGCUGGAUCACAGCUAUAGGACAUAAAUGUUUUGUCUGGCCAACACUAAUUUUUGUUGACUUAAGUGACUUGGUUGCCAACAUUUAAGCCAUUAGGAUGUUUUACAUAAAAUCAUGGGUUUCUGGCUUCACUGAGGACAUCAGCUGGUCAGGUAAGUCUGGGCUGGCUCUCCCAGGUGGCCACAGCUGGAGCUGGACAAUGGCUGCCCUCCUCAGCGGGGCCUGACCUUUCUAGUGUGACCAGUUUGUCACCUGGAAGGAUCAUCCAAGUACUUCUUUCUGACAUUUGAGGUUCUGAGAUGGUUUUAGACCAGUCGUCCCAUUUCUUUUCAUACCCACUUAUCAGGAACAAUAGAGACUCAGUCAUGGCUUGGCCCAAAUUCUCUCUUUACAAAAACUGUAACAAGUUGGUAGCAUAAAUAGGGAAAAAACCCAACAUGGUCUUAUGUUAACUCUCAGGAACUAGAGCACAUCUUACAUUCCCUUCUGGGGAAGGGCUAUUUCCAAGGACGUGGCCUGCAGAGGGGGGACUUAUUCUACGCUGUGAUCCACUCAAGGUGCUCAUGUUGGGGAUUCAGGUCUGAAGGUGAUGGGUAUUCUCAGGUGGCAGGAUGGAGUGUUCUGUCUCAAAUUGCUUUUCACAGUUGGAUGCCAAUUUCUCUUAUGACCAGUUUUAAGAAGUCUGGCUUCAAAAACAAAAAAAAAUUAUUUUCUUGACUGUUAAAAAAAUAUGGCAUUAUCCCCCAAUCUUUCUGAAGUGGGUGUUAUUUAUAAGCUUACAAAUAGAAAAAAGAGAGAGAGAGAGAGAGAGAGAGAGAGAGAGAGAGAGAGAGAGAGAUAUCUGUGAUCAUUUACUUCUCUCCAGUGUUAACUGCCAGAAACACACAGACUGGUCCCCAAAGCUCUCAGGUGACCCACAGCUACGAUAUCACCACAAAGCACAGAUGUGCCCACAGAGGAGGUGCCUGUUACAACCCUUCCAACACAAGAAAAAGAGCCAGGGCUACACAGAGAGCCUGGAGCCACCUACAUGUACAUGCUUAAAAUGGAAGAUUUAAAAUAAACAUCCAGAUUCCUAGCUUCUCCUGAAAAAUUGUGGACCCGAAAGCAUGGAGCCCCCACACCCUCGUGGCUACCACUGGCUGUGCCUGGGUGGUCUCUGCUGCCCUUAGAGAGAGUGCCCUCCCAGCCACCCUGUCACAUUCUCCAGGCUCUGAUCACACAGUCACGCAACCCCUUGGUCGCCCCUGGGGCCUUGGAUUGGCAUUCCCUCUCCUACCUUUCAAGAACACGAGAUGGUCCCAGGGAGAGGUGCAGAAAAAUGUGGGUGAAGGUGUGCAGGUGGGACCCUGGGGUAUUACAGGCGGCAAGUGAGAACCCUGGGGUGUGUGCAGGACAGAGCAAGUGGUUUCCUGGGCCAUCGGGGCCUGCAAAGCAGGACAGAGAGAGAGAGAGCAAAAAUGACGCUGGAGAAGUCACAAGGGCCCUACCGCACAUGGGGGUCCUGUGUGCCAUGCACAGGACCCUGUCCUGAACCCGGAGGGCAAUGGCGAGCCUCAGAGCUCUGUGCCGGGAACAUGGUGAUGUGCGAGUCUGGGGAACCCGCGGUGGAGAGAAUACAAUCAUCAGAGGUCAUGAAAGGCUGGGAGAGUGCCCGGGUCUCGGGGAGAGGGAGGGGGCUGGUUAUCUUUAGUUCGCAUCCAGAGUAAACGUUUCCCAGUGAUUUCUAGGUGACAGAUGACGCCUCCAGGGUCAGUUACCUCUCGGACUGACUGAGAGGCGCCAGGACAGCCCUCUAGGCUUCCCAGGGCCGAGUUAGGCCCGGGUCACGGGGUAAAAGCGAAGACCCUGUAGCCUGUGCAGUGCUUUCUGCAAAGCACACGUAGGAAUUUAGACUUUCUCAGCAGUAAUUACACCAUAACGCCCAGGUGCCCCCGGGUGCACUCAGAGAAUUAAUGGGCCUACCAGUCUCAUUUACUUCUUAGGGUCCCUGGGUCCCCUUCCACAAAUGAGCCUUCUCAGUGCACGAACGAGGCCCUGGAGGAUGAGAAGAGUGAUUGCUGCUCUCAAAGGUGAGGCCAAGAUGAAUGCCAGCCCCUGGAGGCCAGCCCCGACCCCCCCGACAGGGAGAUGCUCCGCAGUGACCGCGGCAGAAGGCGCUCGCACACUGAGCACAUGAUUCCAAGCAAAUGAGCGAACCCAGCGAUUAUUUCCACCCAGAAGUUGGUAAUGAACAGGCCCGUUAUUUAUUCAUUCAUUAAAUGAAGGCAAACAAGCCACCAAAGAGGAAGCCGUCUGGCCACGCUUUUAAUGAAUCUGCCCCAUUUCUGAGUGAAAUGUGGGCCAUGCAGAUGAGACGCCCAACUCGAGAAAUAUAUGACCCACUCAGGCUGCCACCCGCCCCGGCUUAAUUACAGAGAAUCAACAGCCCUGGCUUGCAGAGGACCAUGAUGGAAAUCAAACAGAGAAACUGAAAUACAGACUCCCAGGCAGGUGGCCUGACCUCGGAAAGCCCAGGGACCCCAUGGGUCUGUCUGCAGGACUGUGCCCGGGGCGUUCCAGAAAUCAGUGACACCAGAGGUGGCUGAGCUAGGUGAGGGAACAGAUGUACUUGAGGGACAUCAAACCCUUCUGAUGACCCUUGGGUGAUUCCUGAAUGCAUUACAGCUUUCAUUUAUCCAUGGGUUCGUCCACUCGGAGCAUUUAUUGAGUGCCUCCUGUAUCCCAGGUACUGUAUCAGAGGUCUGAAAAUACUAAGCAAAACUAGAUAUCAUUUCCCUUCUCUCACUCCUUUUUCCUAUAAUUUUUUAGUUAUAGAUGGACACAGCAUCUUUAUUUAUUUUUAUGUGGUGCUGAGGAUCGAACCCGGUGCCUCGCACAUGCUAGGAGAACGCUCUACCACUGAGCCCCAGCCCCAGCCCCCAUUCAUCACUCUUAAGUUGUAGUAGAGGAGAUGAUUAUGAAGCAGAUAGACACGCACGCACGCACACGCACACACGCACGCACACGCACACACACGCACGCACACACACGCACGCGCACGCACACGCACACACGCACGCACACACACACACAUGCACACGCACACACACACGCACACACUCGUAAUUAUAAAUCGGGAUGAGAACUCAGAGGAGGAGUUAGAAAGUGUCUUGCAAUCAAGUGACAAGGAGCCUUGGACUUGUUGGGGAAUCGAGGCAGGUGCCCUGGGAGGCCAGGUCUUGACUGGAUGAGGACAGGAGGAGGGGCAGAGGCAGGAGAAACCACGCGGGCGGCAGCACCUGAGUCCGAGAUGAGCCAAGCUCUGCAGCCAGAGAGGAGGCCCGGGCUGGUGUCCACGGGACCCUCAGAGGGCACUGAGUGGGACCGGUACAGGACUCCUAAAGGAAACCCUGUGGGCAGAUAACCAUCAUGAGAGCAGAAGGCUGGGGUGAGCCCACGGGUGUGGACAUCAGAGAGACCCUCGCUUUCUUCCAUGAGCUUCUGAAAAGGGGGGCUGAGCUUGAGUCGGCCCCCUGGAUGCUCUAGGAACAGGAUCCCUGGAUUUACUUAACCCUUCCUGACUUGAGGGGCUGCGCACACCAUGGCUGCACCCAGUGUCUUUAAGACCACUCAGUUCCCAGAAGAGUUCCCCCACCUCUCCCUGCUGUGAGACCACCAACCCCCAGGGCAGGGACCCCGGAGGCUUGGUCCUACCACUGGUGUGACCUUGCACAGGUCACUGAAUCUCACUGCAUCUCAAUCUCCUUGUGUGGCUGUAGUGCCUGCGUUAGAGCGUAGGGCUACCGUCAAGAGGGGAGGUGUGGAAGGUCUGUCCCACAGCAGGAGAGACAUAAAUACUUAAUACUACCUAGGGAGCUCCUCUCUUUCCCAUUUCAGGCUAAGGGACAAGAAAGAAAGAUUAGCAUUAAAGUGCCUGGGCGGGCAUGUGUGUGCUCCGUGUUGUUAGGCACACUUGAGACGUGCUCCUGAGACAGGAAUUGUAUUAGUCUCUUUUGUGUUGCUUUAACAAAAUACCUGAGGCUGGGUGCUUUAUAAAGUAAAGAGGUUUAUUUUACUUAUGACUGUGGUGGCUGGAGGGUCCAAAUAGCAUGGUGCCAUCAUCCUGGCAAGGAACCCCCAUUACCUACAGUGGAGAAUGGAAGGAGAGCUGACUGUGGGCAGAAGGGCUCAGGAAAAAUAAGACAAAUCUCAAAAGGUGGAAUACUGUACAAUUCAUUUAUAGGGCAUUCUUGAAAUAGCAAAAAUAUAGAGAUAGGGAAUAGUUUAGAGGUUACCAGGCAUUAUUAAGCAGAGCAAAGAGAGUUUGCAGUGUGUAUAAGAGGUGGAGAUAUCACUCACACACACACACACACACACACACACAAAUACACACACACACACACACACACCAUCUCACUGCACUACCAGAAUGGCUAAAAUUUAAAAGUCUGACAACAUUAAGUGUUGGCAAGGAUGUGGAGCUUGCAGGACUCUCCACUGUUGCUGGGAGUGUUCAUGGGUACAAACACUUUGGAAAGAUGUUUGAUACUUAGUUUCUACCAAGGCUGGAAAUAUACUCACCUUAUGAUCCAGCAUUUCCACUCCCAGGGUUAUAAUCCAACAGGAAAACACACACGACCACCACAAGAUGCGCAUAAGAUUCUCUACAGCCGUACAUUUUAUAUAAGCUCCAAACUUGAAACUGCCAGCUGCCCACUGGUGGUAGAAUAAAUCAGUUAUGGUACCUUCCCCGUCCCCUUGUCUUGGGAGUUUGAGCUGCUGUAACAAAACACCAGAGGCUGGAGGCUCAAUAACAACAUUAAUGUCCCACGGUUCUGGAGGCUGAAAGUCCAAAACCAAGGUGCCGGUGGAUUUGGUAUCUGGUAAGGGCUGGACUCCUGUUUGCAGACAACUGUCUUCCCAUUAGAUCCAAUGGCUUUUUCUUGGUGCCUGCGUUAGAAGAAGGAGGGAAGCCGAGAGGGAAAGAGACCUUUGCUUCUUCCUCUUUUCAGGAAGGCUUUAGCCCACAGCCCGUGGGAAGGCCACCCCCAUGACUUCAUCAAACCCUAAGCACUUGCCAAAGAUCCCACCUCCAGGCGCCAUCCCGUUGAGGAUCAGGGAUUCAACACACGAACGUGGGGGAAACAAGCAUUUGGUCCAUGACAGCCACCAUAGAACACACACACACAGCCAUGAGAACAAAGGGGAGCACUGUGCACCCCAGGAUGGAUUUUGGCAUCCUCAGCUGACCAGAAGGAAGCAGGCACAAAGACAGACCGCGGCAAGGCUCAGAGCAGACCUGGUCCAGGCUCUCAGAAGUCAGCACAGAGGCCCACACUGGGGGAGGAGGACCCACCGGGAAGGGCACGAGGGGGGCUUGUGGGGUUUCUGCCUUGCUCUGUGUCCCGAC